This 329-nucleotide unclassified non-coding RNA is filed under the name soil metagenome. RNAcentral describes it as "partial contains 5.8S ribosomal RNA, internal transcribed spacer 2, and large subunit ribosomal RNA". The stretch from base 1 to 120 matches the Rfam family "5.8S ribosomal RNA", at positions 35 to 154 of the family's 154-position model. The record is from RNAcentral.
GAUGAAGAACGCAGCGAAAUGCGAUAAGUAAUGUGAAUUGCAGAAUUCAGUGAAUCAUCGAAUCUUUGAACGCACAUUGCGCCCUCUGGUAUUCCGGGGGGCAUGCCUGUUCGAGCGUCAUUAUAACCACUCAAGCUCUCGCUUGGUAUUGGGGUUCGCGGUUUCGCGGCCCCUAAAAUCAGUGGCGGUGCCUGUUGGCUCUACGCGUAGUAAUACUUCUCGCGAUUGAGUUCGAUAGGUCUACUUGCCAGUAACCCCCAAUUUUUACAGGUUGACCUCGGAUCAGGUAGGGAUACCCGCUGAACUUAAGCAUAUCAAUAAGCGGAGGA